RNAcentral lists this long non-coding RNA (2661 nucleotides) under Mus musculus (house mouse). RNAcentral describes it as "predicted gene 43549". The record is from RNAcentral. Lineage: Eukaryota; Metazoa; Chordata; Mammalia; Rodentia; Muridae.
AGUUAGGUAAGCUGGGGUAUCGGGCCUCUGCUAAAAAGGCUCAGUUAUGCCAGAUAGAAGUGACCUACCUAGGAUAUGUCUUGAGAGAUGGACAACGGUGGCUCACAGAAGCCAGAAAACAAGCUGUUAUGCAGAUCCCGGCCCCAACCACUGCUCGCCAGGUGCCGCAUCAGUUUGAAGUAAGAGACGCAGUCCUGGUGAGGAGACACCGAGCGGGAAACCUAGAACCGAGGUGGAAGGGACCCUACUUGGUGCUACUGACAACGCCCACCGCGGUCAAAGUGGAAGGAAUCCCCACUUGGGUCCACGCAUCCCACGUUAAGAGAGCACCCCCUGGAGUCAGCCAUGAUGAGUGGACUUUGGAGAAGACUACUAAUCCUUUUAAGUUGCGCCUGCUUCGUAGGAGCGAUCCCAAAAGACUUCAACCCCCACAGUCCUGUUCAACAAACGUGGGAGGUACUCAAUGAGGGGGGUAGGGCUGUAUGGACAAUCGCUGAGGUACACCCUCUGUAGACUUGGUGGCCUGAUCUUUUCCCUGACAUCUGUAAGUUGGCUAUAGGAGCCCCUCCUGGAUGGAACUUGGAGGGGUACUCUGACAUUCAGAGGGCACCUUUAACACCCCCUCCGUACGUAGAAAAACAUUCGAGAGACCCAUGGGGUGGUUGCUCUAACCAAAGGGAUAGAAGUAUGCUUCGAACCCAUCCCUUCUAUGUCUGCCCCGGGCCCCACCGAAGUCAGUCCCUCAAUCCAACGUGUGGAGGUAAGGCUGACUUCUUUUGUAAGAGCUGGGGUUGCGAGACUUCAGGUACAGCCCGCUGGAAGCCCUCCUCGAGCUGGGACUAUAUUAGAGUAACAGCCAACUAUUCCCUAGCGUCUUAUGUACCUGGAGGAUUUGACCUAGACGAGUGUACUGACUGGUGCCAUCCGCUCCGUGUCACCUUCACUGAACCAGGGAAGAGAGCUCUGGGAUGGACAAAAGGGUAUACCUGGGGUCUUAGGAUUUACAAGGAAAGAUAUGAUGAGGGAUUAUUGUUCACUAUCAGAUUAAAAAUAGAGACCCCCUACAAUCCUUUAGGCCCCCCAACCAAGUUCACACCCCUCACCCAUACAAUUACUCAGCCUACUCCAGUGAUUGCGGACCCCCUUAAUAUGGCCGCUAUCACCCAACCUCCCACUCCUCAGGUACCUCUAACUAUUACCCCCGAGAUUCCUUCAAGACAGAGGAUGUUUAACCUAGUGAGAGGAGCCUUUUAUGCCCUUAACAGAACUGAUCCAAGCGCUACUGAGGACUGCUGGCUAUGCCUGUCCUCGGGUCCGCCUUAUUAUGAAGGAAUCGCCUUCAAUGGAGAUUUCAACAGAACCAGCAGCCAUACUUCCUGCUCUUGGGGUACAGGACAAAAACUGACCCUGACUGAAGUAUCCGCGAGGAAUCCAGGUCUCUGUAUAGGUACCCCACCUUCCACUCACAAACACCUAUGCGGACAAAUUCAGUCCGUGUCCAGAACGGAAGCUGAUUACUAUCUUGUACCUUCCCCGGUUGGAUGGUGGGCUUGCAAUACAGGACUUACUCCCUGUGUAUCAACUAAGGUUUUUAAUUCAUCUCAUGAUUUUUGUGUCAUGAUCCAGCUGUUACCCCGUGUAUAUUAUCACCCUGCAUCCAGUUUAGAAGAAAGCUAUGCGGGCCGGCGGUCAAAAAGAGAACCAAUUACUUUAACCCUGGCUGCAUUCAUGGGAAUAGGUAUGGCAGUAGGAGUGGGGACGGGAGUGUCAGCUUUAAUAGAAGGAAGACAGGGAAUUCAGUCUUUGAGGGAUGCUGUCAAUGAAGACCUAGCGGCAAUAGAGAAGUCCAUAGACGCUUUAGAAAAAUCUUUGACCUCCCUGUCUGAGGUAGUUUUACAGAACAGGAGAGGUCUUGAUUUGUUGUUCCUAAAGGAAGGAAGACUGUGUGCUGCCCUUAAAGAAGAGUGCUGCUUCUAUGCAGAUCAUACAGGAAUAGUUAGAGACUCUAUGCAGAAACUGAGAGAAAGAUUAGAGCGAAGGAAACGGGAACGGGAUGCUCAAUGGGGGUGGUUUGAGUCGUGGUUUGAAUCACGACCAUCUUGGAUAACUUCUUUAAUUUCCGCUGUAGCCGGACCAAUCCUUAUGAUAUGCUUAGCUUUAGUUUUCGGCCCUUGUAUAAUAAAUAGAGGAAUGGCUUUCAUCCAGAGUAAAAUUGAUACAGUAAAACUCAUGGUUCUUCAAAGGCAAUAUCAACCUAUAGUUCAGGUAGAUGAAGAGUUAAGGGACACCGACCUCUAAAAUUCUAUGAUUAGAAUUAGUCUAAACAGAAGAAGAGGGGAAUGAAAGGAAAUAAAACUGUAAUUCAUGUAAUGUAUGUUAAAUAGCCCAAAGAGUUGUUUCUGAGCUUUAAAACCUGGGGCUGAGAACAUAGCAGAACAGACCAGGACAUGCCCGGGCAAGCCCAUCGCCUCCCUAGCUCCCACCCCUCUGACCUAAGUUAAAUGUUACAGGCUGCUGAUGUUUAAAUGGACCAAUCAUGUGAAACCGCGCCAAUUCCUCCCCCAGCCCCACUCCUUUUCUAUAAAACCCCCUAGCUUCCAAGCCUCGUGGUCGAAUCCACUGUCUCCUGUUGUGUGAGAUACGUUUCGACCCGGAGCUCUG